UACGGAGGGUGCGAGCGUUGUUCGGAAUUAUUGGGCGUAAAGCGCGUGUAGGCGGCCAUGCAAGUCGGGUGUGAAAGCCCUCGGCUUAACCGAGGAAGUGCGCCCGAAACUACAUGGCUUGAGUACCGGAGAGGGUGGCGGAAUUCCCGGUGUAGAGGUGAAAUUCGUAGAUAUCGGGAGGAACACCAGCGGCGAAGGCGGCCACCUGGACCGAUACUGACACUGAGACGCGAAAGCGUGGGGAGCAAAC
RNAcentral lists this ribosomal RNA (250 nucleotides) under uncultured bacterium. RNAcentral describes it as "partial 16S ribosomal RNA". It matches the Rfam family "Bacterial small subunit ribosomal RNA", at positions 524 to 773 of the family's 1533-position model. The record is from RNAcentral.